GAUUUGGGACUCCAUCUGGCCUCAAGUUGUUCCUGCAUAUGGCGCACCUCGGAGAAGGGACCGCGUAGUUGUCCUCGCACUGUGCCCCGAUUAAAGGCGAACGGGCAUUUGUCACGGGGAAGUGUACCCGGCUGUGCUGGAAAAUGGACUUUUCGAUGAGCGUGGGAGCCUGAACUGUCACGGAGCGGAGAGCCGGUGUUAUUGCAGCCGGCCGGCCGCGGUGGCCGUCACCUGUGUUAUCGGCUGUGGCAGGCAUCACCUCCCCCUGAAAGCAUCCCAUUACGGCGGCGCAGAGAGAUGCCAGCUCAUCACGCUCAGAAAGGGUCACUGAGGAUGUGCUCUGUGCCAGAGACCGACGCACCCCGUCCUGCCACCCUCCUAACAAUUCAU
Myotis brandtii (Brandt's bat) is the source of this 390-nucleotide long non-coding RNA. RefSeq lists it as uncharacterized. The record is from RefSeq and is a predicted model, not a curated record. The transcript has 3 exons. NCBI's taxonomy places the organism in Eukaryota, Metazoa, Chordata, Mammalia, Chiroptera, Vespertilionidae.